RNAcentral lists this ribosomal RNA (336 nucleotides) under uncultured eukaryote. RNAcentral describes it as "partial 18S ribosomal RNA". It matches the Rfam family "Eukaryotic small subunit ribosomal RNA", at positions 1470 to 1796 of the family's 1831-position model. The record is from RNAcentral.
CCCUUAGAUGUUCUGGGCCGCACGCGCGCUACACUGACGGAGUCAACGAGUUGUCCUGCAUCGGAAGGUGUGGGUAAUCUUUUGAAACUUCGUCGUGCUGGGGAUAGAUCUUUGCAAUUUUCGAUCUUGAACGAGGAAUUCCCAGUAAGCGCGAGUCAUCAGCUCGCGUUGAUUACGUCCCUGCCCUUUGUACACACCGCCCGUCGCUACUACCGAUUGGAUGGUUUAGUGAGACCCUCGGAUCGGUCCCGACUCGGGGUGGGCUUCUGCCCCGGUCGUGGUUUCGCCGAGAAGACGGUCAAACUUGACUAUCUAGAGGAAGUAAAAGUCGUAACA